Molecule: long non-coding RNA, 1174 nt
Organism: Papaver somniferum (opium poppy)
Lineage: Eukaryota; Viridiplantae; Streptophyta; Magnoliopsida; Ranunculales; Papaveraceae
Exons: 2
Source: RefSeq, a predicted model, not a curated record
UGUCCGGAUACGUCAUCCGGCUAUUGAGUGUCCGGACCCAAAAAAUAUUGUAUCCGACCACUGGAUGACCGGAUGAGAUUUCUUUUAAAUUUCAAAUAAAACUCUCGAAACCUCGUGUUCUUUCCAUCUUUCCUCGAAAAAUAAAAUGGUUCUUCCCGUUUGAGUUUCUCAUUCUCUGGUUUCAUUGAUUUCCUUCUGUGAUUCAUCUGGGUAUACUGCUCUUGGAGAAAACUAGUUCAUAGAAGAAAUCUUUUCUAAUUCUUCAUAGAAGACCUCCAAUGUCAUCUGAGAGUAUGAAUGGUUUCGAUCAUCGUGUUGUUUCUUCAAAGGACUCACCACUACUACCACAUAUAUGUCAGAAAUAUAGUACUAGGAAAGAGAUAAGAUUUAGAGGUGGAUGGUCUGACAUGAAACUUAUGUAUGACAUUGUGACCCAACAUGAAGAAUGUAAACGUAUCAUUGAUAAAUGUGGUUGGGAAGGAUUAUUGGAAAUAAAUGUCCCUCUUUGCAACAAGAAGCUUGCAGAUGCAAUUGUUGAGCGAUGGUGGGAGUCCACCAAUACAUUUCAUUUUUCAGAGUUUUAAAUAGGUCUCACACCACAUGAUUUUACUUCAUUGACCGGUAUUUCGGUUGGAAGAGGGACUGAUCCUUUGUUUAUCCUAUGGGAAGACGAUGAAAAGGAAGAUUGUAUAGCAAUGGGACUGAUCCUUUGUUUAUCCUAUGGGAAGACGAUGAAAAGGAAGAUUGUAUAGCAAUGGCAAGAGUAUAUUUAGGUAAUGUUAUCGCAAAUGCUACAAACUCUAAUGAUUGUACAGAAGGUUACUUUAAGGGUGGUGGAAUCCCUUGUUCGCACUUGUACCGAUGGCUUCUACAGUUCAAAAAUGUUGCAGUCGAAGUUAUGGAACCCAUUGGCAAGAGAUCACGCGAGCGUUGAGCGAUGGUGGGAGUCCACCAAUACAUUUCAUUCAGUCUGUGAUCAUGUUGUCUUAUGCUCCAUUCAAGUAGUUGAAUUCAUUUAUGAAGUAUAUAUACAUCCAGAAGUCUAGUUGGAUGCUGUUGGGUUUUAAUCUUGUAAUUCAAUUACAUAUUUUGUGGCAUCUGUUAAUUUAGUUCUUCAGACUGAAAAAUGGUUAGUUACAGGAGAUACAGAAAAAUGACAUUGCUUGUAUUCUAA